Molecule: long non-coding RNA, 659 nt
Organism: Macaca mulatta (Rhesus monkey)
Lineage: Eukaryota; Metazoa; Chordata; Mammalia; Primates; Cercopithecidae
Source: RefSeq, a predicted model, not a curated record
GCGGCCUCGGGCAGAGGGAGGGAGCCGGCGGGCAGCGCGCCUCCCGGAGCCGCUGUCAUUUCACUGGCGCAUCCUGGGCAAAGGCAGUGUGGUCCUGGGGUGGACAGCAGAUUCCAGAAAGGGACUGUGAGCUAUUCAGUAUCCCCAGAAUGCCGGUCAGAGCAGACUGCAAAGAAAUGUUGCUUUGGUGAACGAUGUGCUGGGAAGAGGUGAAGGCAGGAAGUCCAGAAAUGAGCACAGUCGUCCAGCCAAGCAGUGCUGGGAGCUCAGGACAGAGUGGCAGAGUGGUGUUGGGAAAGAAGGGACGUUUAAACAAGAUGGAAGAGCAAGAGGACUCGAUGCUGCUACAAGCAGUCCGGGAAAGUUUUGAUUGUGUGUUUGUUUUCCUCACUAAACCCACAAGAUUUAUAUGUUGAAAUUCUAACCCCUAAGGCAAUAGGAAGGGGGUCCUUUUGCAGGUGAUUAGGUCGGAUGGAAUUAGUGCCCUUAUAAAAGACACCCUCGAGCGCUGCCUUCUCCUUCAACCACAUGAGGACACAGCAAGAAAGUGCCAUCUAUGAGCCAGAAGGUGGGUUCUCACUAGACACCCAAUCUGCCUGGAUCUUGAACCUGCCAGCCUCCAGAACCAUGAGAAAUAAAUUUCUAUUGUUGAUAAGCCA